RNAcentral lists this ribosomal RNA (253 nucleotides) under uncultured bacterium. RNAcentral describes it as "partial 16S ribosomal RNA". It matches the Rfam family "Bacterial small subunit ribosomal RNA", at positions 524 to 776 of the family's 1533-position model. The record is from RNAcentral.
UACAGAGGUCUCAAGCGUUGUUCGGAAUCACUGGGCGUAAAGGGUGCGUAGGCCGCACGGUAAGUCAGAGGUGAAAUCCCGGAGCUCAACUCCGGAAUGGCCUCCGAUACUGCCGUGCUUGAGGACUGGAGAGGAGUCUGGAAUUCACAGUGGAGCAGUGAAAUGCGUAGAUAUUGUGAGGAACACUAGUGGCGAAGGCGAGACUCUGGACAGUUCCUGACGCUGAGGCACGAAGGCCAGGGGAGCAAACGGG